AUUUAAAAUGUAUUUAUAAAUAUUAAAGUAGUAUUAGUUAUGUUCUUGAAACUUAAAAAAUUUGGCGGUAUUUUAGUCUAUUCAGAGGAACCUGUUCUAUAAUCGAUAAUCCACGAUGGACCUUACUUAAAUUUGUAAAUCAGUUUAUAUACCGUCGUUAUUAGAAUAUUUUAUAAGAAUAAUAAUUUUCAUAAAAUUUUAUUAAAAUAUAUAUCAGAUCAAGGUGUAGCUUAUGUUUAAGUAGAAAUGGGUUACAAUAAAAUUAUUUAUACGGAAAUAAAUAUGAAAAAUUUAUUGAAGGUGGAUUUGAUAGUAAAAUUAUAAAGAUUAAUAAUUUGAUUUUAGCUCUAAAAUAUGU
Molecule: ribosomal RNA, 358 nt
Filed under: Antrops sp. JK11
Lineage: Eukaryota; Metazoa; Arthropoda; Insecta; Diptera; Sphaeroceridae
Description: partial 12S ribosomal RNA
Source: RNAcentral